RNAcentral lists this ribosomal RNA (1009 nucleotides) under Apis mellifera (honey bee). RNAcentral describes it as "SSU rRNA". It matches the Rfam family "Eukaryotic small subunit ribosomal RNA", at positions 44 to 982 of the family's 1831-position model. Lineage: Eukaryota; Metazoa; Arthropoda; Insecta; Hymenoptera; Apidae. The record is from RNAcentral.
AUUAGCCAUGCAUGUCUCAGUACAUGCCGAAUUAAGGUGAAACCGCGAAUGGCUCAUUAAAUCAGUUAUGGUUCAUUAGAUCGUGGACACAUUUACUUGGAUAACUGUGGUAAUUCUAGAGCUAAUACAUGCAAACAGAAUUCCUCUCAGAGAUGGGAGGAAUGCUUUUAUUAGAUCAAAACCAAUCGGUGGCGGACGGCUCGUCCGUUCGUCCAUCGUUUGUUUUGGUGACUCUGAAUAACUUUGUGCUGAUCGCAUGGUCAUCUAGCACCGGCGACGCAUCUUUCAAAUGUCUGCCUUAUCAACUGUCGAUGGUAGGUUCUGCGCCUACCAUGGUUGUAACGGGUAACGGGGAAUCAGGGUUCGAUUCCGGAGAGGGAGCCUGAGAAACAGCUACCACAUCCAAGGAAGGCAGCAGGCGCGCAAAUUACCCACUCCCGGCACGGGGAGGUAGUGACGAAAAAUAACGAUACGGGACUCAUCCGAGGCCCCGUAAUCGGAAUGAGUACACUUUAAAUCCUUUAACGAGGACCAAUUGGAGGGCAAGUCUGGUGCCAGCAGCCGCGGUAAUUCCAGCUCCAAUAGCGUAUAUUAAAGUUGUUGCGGUUAAAAAGCUCGUAGUUGAAUCUGUGUGUCACAGUGUCGGUUCACCGCUCGCGGUGUUUAACUGGCAUUAUGUGGUACGUCCUAUCGGUGGGCUUAGCUCCUUGCGGGCGGUCCAACUAAUAUCCCAUCGCGGUGCUCUUCACUGAGUGUCGAGGUGGGCCGAUACGUUUACUUUGAAAAAAUUAGAGUGCUUAAAGCAGGCUACCUUUGCCUGAAUACUGUGUGCAUGGAAUAAUGGAAUAGGACCUCGGUUCUAUUUUGUUGGUUUUCGGAACCCCGAGGUAAUGAUUAAUAGGGACAGAUGGGGGGCAUUCGUAUUGCGACGUUAGAGGUGAAAUUCUUGGAUCGUCGCAAGACGGACAGAAGCGAAAGCAUUUGCCCAAAAUGUUUUCAUUAAUCAAGA